RNAcentral lists this ribosomal RNA (213 nucleotides) under Debregeasia elliptica. Its description in RNAcentral is "5.8S ribosomal RNA". The stretch from base 54 to 209 matches the Rfam family "5.8S ribosomal RNA". Rfam says of the family: 5.8S ribosomal RNA (5.8S rRNA) is a component of the large subunit of the eukaryotic ribosome. The record is from RNAcentral. Lineage: Eukaryota; Viridiplantae; Streptophyta; Magnoliopsida; Rosales; Urticaceae.
GAGGCGAAAACCUCGGCGUGUUGCGGUCGUUCGCUACAAUUAAAUGUCGUAACGACUCUCGGCAACGGAUAUCUCGGCUCUCGCAUCGAUGAAGAACGUAGCGAAAUGCGAUACUUGGUGUGAAUUGCAGAAUCCCGUGAACCAUCGAGUCUUUGAACGCAAGUUGCGCCCGAAGCCGUUAGGCCGAGGGCACGUCUGCCUGGGCGUCACGCA